AUGGCUGUCGUCAGCUCGUGUUGUGAAAUGUUCGGUUAAGUCCGGCAACGAGCGCAACCCCUGUCCUUAGUUACCAUCAUUAAGUUGGGGACUCUAGGGAGACUGCCGGUGUUAAACCGGAGGAAGGCGGGGAUGACGUCAAGUCCUCAUGGCUCUUACGGGAAGGGCUACACACGUACUACAAUGGUAGAAACAAAGGGCUGCGAAACCGCGAGGUCAAGCUAAUCCCUAAAACACUAUCUCAGUCCGGAUUGGAGUCUGCAACUCGACUCCAUGAAGUUGGAAUCGCUAGUAAUCGGAGAUCAGCACGCUCCGGUGAAUACGUUCCCGGGCCUUGUACACACCGCCCGUCACACCACGAAAGUGGUCUCAACCAGAAGUAGGUGAGCUGACCUCGGAGGCAGCCUACCACGGUUGGGGCCGUGAUUGGGGUGAAGUCGUAACAAGGUAGCCGUAGGGGAACCUGCGGCUGGAUCACCUCCUUUCUAAGGAUAAUUCAGCUAAAACUGGUAACAGUGAAGCUUAUCCAGGUUAACCUCGGAAGUUUAACUUUAUGUUUAUAUUAUUCAGCUUUGAGAGUGCUUAGGCAUUUUCAAGCUCUUUGACAAUUGAAUAGAUAUAGAAAUCAAAUUUUUAGAUUAGCACACAGUUAGAUCACAGAAAUUUAAAUUAAAUUCUUGUUUUCAAAAACAAAAUUGCAAAAUCAAAUCAGUAUUUCUCAAACCUAAUAAAUCACUUACUUGAUUUUUUCAAGUAAGGAGAUUGGCGUAAAAAUAAGUUACUAAGGGCACACGGCGGAUGCCUUGGCACUAAGAGGCGAUGAAGGACGUGGUAAGCGACGAUACGCUUCGGGGAGCUGCUUAACGAGCUUUGAUCCGGAGAUUUCCGAAUGGGGAAACCCGG
Molecule: small RNA, 903 nt
Filed under: uncultured bacterium
Lineage: Bacteria
Description: bacterial SSU rRNA
Rfam family: Bacterial small subunit ribosomal RNA (bases 1-485)
Source: RNAcentral